Molecule: ribosomal RNA, 253 nt
Filed under: uncultured bacterium
Lineage: Bacteria
Description: partial 16S ribosomal RNA
Rfam family: Bacterial small subunit ribosomal RNA
Source: RNAcentral
UACGUAGGUGGCAAGCGUUGUCCGGAUUUACUGGGCGUAAAGAGCGCGCAGGCGGUCGUUCAAGUCGCGUGUGAAAGCCCCCGGCUCAACUGGGGAGGGUCACGCGAUACUGAUCGACUGGAAGGCAGGAGAGGGUAGUGGAAUUCCCGGUGUAGUGGUGAAAUGCGUAGAUAUCGGGAGGAACACCAGUGGCGAAGGCGGCGAUCUGGGCUGAUACUGACGCUGAGGUGCGAAAGCGUGGGGAGCAAACAGG